GUUUUGUGGUGGGUUUUUUGAGAGGGAAUGGGAGGGGUAUAGCUGUGUAACCACAUUUUUAAAGCCACAGAGGUUGAAGAACUAUUUUUUCAUGCAUUGAUCUUUUUUUCCCAAGAACAGAUUUAAACUAAGGCAUUAUAUUAAAAAAAAAUCUGAUUAGUUACGUGUGUUGUAAGAUUUAAAGUAUUCAGGGUAACCGUUUUUGUUUUAACAAGGAGAUUAUCCUUCGGGUGCAAUUUAGACCAAUAAAAAUGGUAGAGGUAUUUUAAAGUGUUGAACAUCUUCACAAGGGAAUAUUUUAUUGCUUAUUUUAUUCAUAGACAUAGCAAGUUUGGG
Non-coding RNA from Pelobates cultripes (western spadefoot toad), 336 nucleotides. Lineage: Eukaryota; Metazoa; Chordata; Amphibia; Anura; Pelobatidae. The record is from the annotation of a GenBank genome assembly.